AGUCUUCCCACAAAGUUACACUAACUCACCUGCCCCUGCAACAUCUGCACCUAGGUUUCUGCGAAUUUCCAUUUGUACUCCUAAAAUCACACUCUCAAGCAUAGUCAUAGUUCUCAAAUACCAAAGGCAGGCAGUUUGGAGUCAUAGGGUCAAAUUACACAAAGAAUAAACUAAUAUUUGUAUACACAUCCAAAAGAGGUCUUUAGUCUUGGAUUUUUAAUUUACAACCCUGGGGAAAAACUUUGACUUUUUUAUUGUACACACAUACACACAUAAAUAGUAAUUCCACAAAAUACAGUAGAAGGGUAUUGGACCAACAGAUGGCGAACUAGAGCCCCAAUCUGAGGCUCCUGAAAUCUAAAUUAGCAGAAUGAAAAAUACCAAAUAAGGCAAAGCCCUUUGCAGCGUAUACUUAAAUAUUAAAUUCAGACACACCAUAACAAAAUAAUCUUACUGCUGCUCCAAAUUUUUAAGACUGAACUGUCAGAUUUAAUUAGGCAACCAAAUAAGCAAGAUUAUAUGAAAUAUAUUUUUCUAAUGGAUUAGGAGAAAACUGGAAAAUGCUCAUUUUUAAAACCAUGUAUUUGGGGGAACUAUAAAUUCCAGUUUCCCCUUUCUCUCAUUGCUUAGUGCAAGAGUCAAGAGUUCACAGGGUUUAUGGCACUUAAAUCAGUCAACCUGUUGUAUAUUCUUAUCUAAAAUCAGACAUCUUUCUUAUUAGGCAUCCACUUGUACUUUUAUUUUUUUGACAGGGUCCUGCUCGGUUGCCCAGGCUAGAGUGCAGUGGUGCAAUCAAACUCACUGCAGCCUCCCAGGCUCAGGCGAUCCUACCUCAGCCUCUUGAGUAGCUGGCACUACAGGCAUAUGCCACCAUGCCCAGCUGUUAUUUUUUUCACUCCUUUUUGUUUUGGUAGAUACAGAGUCUCCCUAUGUUGCCCAGGCUGGUCUCGAACUCCUGGACUCGAGUGCUGGCAUUACAGGCAUGAGCCACCACACAAAAAUCUUAUGAAGAGAAACAAAUUUUCUUAAAUUUCCCCCCAAAAAAUAGUGGAUGUCCAAAAGGCUGAUUGAAAACACCUACAUACAAAAUAAAACAAACAAACAAAAAAAGAUUUAAAGAAAAAGGCCUGGUGCAGCAGCUCACUCCUGUAAUCCCAGCACUUUGGGAGGGUGAGGUGGGAGGAUCACUUGAGCUCCGGAGUUAGAGACCAGCCUGGGCAACAGAGUGAGACCCUAUCUCUACAAACAAAAUUUUAAAUUAGCCAAGUGUGGUAGCAUGUGCUUACAGUCCCAGCUACUCCAGAAGCUGAGGGGAUUGCUUGAGCCUGGGAGGUCAAGGCUGCAGUGAGUCAUGAUCAUGCCAUUGUAGUCCAACCUGGGCAACAGAGCGAGACCAUCUCAAAAUGAAAAGUGAUAAAAAAAUAAAAACACCAACAUAUUUCAAAUCACUCUUGGAAUAGUCAUGUUGACUCUCCAAUAUCCACUCUAUUCUGAUUAGUUUUAACCCAUUCUCUUUGCCAAUGAUUGGUUAGGAAUGGCCAUGAGAUGUGAGUAGAAGCCCCCUGGACAGCCUCCAAAAGAGAACUGUGAGAAAAGGUUCUUCAAUCCUAAAAAUGAUGGAGGAAAAAACAGUCCCUCUUCCUCAGACAGUGACACCUCAAACUGCUACAGUCACCUUUGCAGCAAGCCUGAAGAUGCCACCAACAUCAAAGGGAAUAGAGAGUUGGUCCUUGGUGAUAGCAUUAAGCCACUGUAUCAACCAAUCCUGACAAUUUGUAUGACUUCUGGAUUUCCAGCCACAUUACAACAAUGUAACAAUAAACAUUUAUUAAUUGCUUAAGCCAAUUUGAGUUAGGUUCCUUAUAUAAUAAAUGAAGUCAAAAAA
Molecule: long non-coding RNA, 1885 nt
Filed under: Homo sapiens (human)
Lineage: Eukaryota; Metazoa; Chordata; Mammalia; Primates; Hominidae
Description: HSALNT0390187
Source: RNAcentral